RNAcentral lists this ribosomal RNA (615 nucleotides) under uncultured bacterium. Its description in RNAcentral is "bacterial SSU rRNA". It matches the Rfam family "Bacterial small subunit ribosomal RNA", at positions 338 to 956 of the family's 1533-position model. The record is from RNAcentral.
CCUACGGGAGGCAGCAGUGGGGAAUUUUGGACAAUGGGCGCAAGCCUGAUCCAGCAAUGCCGCGUGAGUGAAGAAGGCCUUCGGGUUGUAAAGCUCUUUUGUCAGGGAAGAAACGGUGGGGGCUAAUAUCCCUUGCUAAUGACGGUACCUGAAGAAUAAGCACCGGCUAACUACGUGCCAGCAGCCGCGGUAAUACGUAGGGUGCAAGCGUUAAUCGGAAUUACUGGGCGUAAAGCGUGCGCAGGCGGUUUUGUAAGUUUGUCGUGAAAUCCCCGGGCUCAACCUGGGAAUGGCGAUGAAGACUGCAAGGCUAGAAUCUGGCAGAGGGGGGUAGAAUUCCACGUGUAGCAGUGAAAUGCGUAGAGAUGUGGAGGAACACCGAUGGCGAAGGCAGCCCCCUGGGUCAAGAUUGACGCUCAUGCACGAAAGCGUGGGGAGCAAACAGGAUUAGAUACCCUGGUAGUCCACGCCCUAAACGAUGUCUACUAGUUGUCGGGUUUUAAUUAACUUGGUAACGCAGCUAACGCUGAAGUAGACCGCCUGGGGAUACGGUCGCAAGNUUAAAACCNCAAAGAGUGACGGCGNGAGAGAGCGACGACGACGACGAGGAGGAGG